Molecule: long non-coding RNA, 2281 nt
Filed under: Nicotiana benthamiana
Lineage: Eukaryota; Viridiplantae; Streptophyta; Magnoliopsida; Solanales; Solanaceae
Description: long non-coding RNA (NBEN_LNC030443)
Source: RNAcentral
ACACCGCCCACCCCCCAUCUCGUCCCCCUCCACUCCUCAAACUCAGAGAAAUCACCAUGAACCCUCCAAGCUUCCACCAAAAUCCACCGCCUGAGGGUGGCGGCGCCACCUCCAAUCCUGCCCAAAAACACACCCCUAAAUCUUCUCGACUCCCUCAGCCCAAAUCUGCAACCAUUGGCUUUCAAAUAUCAACCAAAAGUCUCGAAUUUUAGAGCGAUGUUCUGGGCGAAAACACAAACUCACCCAAAUUCGACCAAAUUAACACAAAAUCAUAUUCUCUCUUCCUUCAUCCCAAAUUUCUACGUGGUUUCCGUCAAAUAUCACCGGAACGUUGAAUCGUGAAUCAAGGGCCGUUGAAAUUCAAGUUCCUUUGAAGGUUUGUUUGCUCGAUUGACUUGGAGCUAAUGUUACAUGUUUAUUUCAGACGAAACGAACACGCAACAUUAACUCGAAGCCAUGUUCGAGGCCAGUCAAACCACGAAGGUGUCAAAAAUCAGUGAGUUCGUUCAUUUUAUUUAUUUUUUCCUAUUCAUUGUUUUAAGUAGUUUAUUUUUGUGACUUUGUUUUCAGUCAAUAGGAUUGCUAUGUGCUUUAGAUUAAAUAUUAGAUCAGUUAGUUGAAUUUCUGUUUAAGUUUAUGUUUGGAUUAAUCAUUUAGUAUGAUUGGGUCGCUUUGUCAUUUGAAUAAAUUUCUUGCAUAGCUAGGUUAGUUUAAAUUUAGUUUUGCUUCUACAUUUGUUGUUCUGAUUGAAUCUUUUUCACAUCACUAUGUUCUAAUUAGUUGUUUGAAUCGAUGAUUAGUUGAUUUCUAGAUCAGUAGUCAUUCAGUUAAUUAGGUUCAGGGUUGAUUACAGUUGAUUUUUUUUAUAAAAAUAAGUUAGUAAUUACAGGGGGCUUUGAAGGAUAGUUUAGGCAUAGAAAAAGGUAAUUUUAUUAGGUUUGGUAAUUUUAAUGCAGGGGUAAGGGUAGUAUAGUAAUUGUAUAGCUAAAAGAAACUUCCAAGGAAUCCCAAAUGGGGCUUUAGUGUAAGUUUUAAUAAUAUUUGUAGUAGUUACUUGGGGAACAAGUUUGAAGUAUGAGGGUUAAAAUGAAAAUAGGUAGGGACUUAUAGUGCAAAUAGAAGAUUAGAGGGCUGCCCUCUUUUGGCUUAUAAAAUGGCAUUCCCAUGCCUUUAUUCACAAGUUUUGCAAGCCUGAAAAUUCCCCAAAAAAAUUACUCCCCAAAGCUUCCAGAUCUGGAGUGAAAACUUCAGAUCUGAAAUUCUCUUAGAUUUUAAUUUGUUCAAAAGAAAAACAACAAAAAACUUCAAAAAAUCAAAAGAGGCCACUGUUUCAUUGGGAAUUGUAGGAUAAUUUGGAUGUUCUAUUAAUGGAUUCACCUCUCUUAGUUCUGUCAUUGAUUGCUAAAAGUUUAGAGAUCCAUUAGUUGAGUUUCGAGUAAGAUUACUGAGGUUCAAGGGGUUUACUGUUUAGCAGCAAUUUUUUUCUAAUUUUGGGUCCAAGUUCAAGAUAACCUGAGUGCAUUCAAGUUUGUUGUUCAAGUUACUGUUUCUAUUUUCUUUCAAAUUUCUCCUGAAUUAUCAAGUUCGACCUGUGGACUAUACUUUAUUUCUGUACUGAUAUUUGCUGCUGCUGUGCUUAUUGCCGCUUAUCUAUCCAUUUUCUAUUUUGUGUCAAAUUUCUGGUACAUGUUUCAGCCCGCUCAGUGUAAUAUCUUCUGUGGAAUGGAAAUGCAUUAGUUGUUUGAUCUUCACCAAGUCACCACUAUUUCAUUAGAUAAAUGGCAUCAUACUUAGUUGAUUAAAUUCAUUGUUUCAGAUCAUUUGUAUGAGACUGUUUAGAACACAAACUGUAUAAUGAAGUGAAUUGAUUGCAUGAGCGAGAGGAUUAGUAAUUAGCAAUUGUAUUCAGAUUAAUAUGUGCUCUUAAUGUACUGUAAGUGUAGCAUAAUGUGUUUCAUUUCUUUGAAAAGGUUCAUAUUUUUGCAUAUUCAUCUCUGUGAUCAACUGUUAAUUGAAUAACAUUGACUGGAUUUAACUGUAAUCAUUGGCUAAUACAAUCAGUGUCAAUUGGAUUUAAUUGUUGAAAACAAGUACUUAAAGUGAGUUUGACAUUCAAUGAGUUUGUGCAUUUGGUAUAAUAGUCAAGAGGUGUUGGAAAUUGGACUUUUGUGUCUCUACUGGGAUUUGAUUCCAAACUUUGGCAUCACAGCCGCCUGAUUUUCUCUUUACUCCCAUUGGGCCAUCUGUUUUCAUUUGAGCCCUACCAGUGCAUUUCGUGUUU